This 484-nucleotide ribosomal RNA is filed under the name uncultured bacterium. RNAcentral describes it as "partial 16S ribosomal RNA". It matches the Rfam family "Bacterial small subunit ribosomal RNA", at positions 29 to 507 of the family's 1533-position model. The record is from RNAcentral.
AUUGAACGCUGGCGGAAUGCUUUACACAUGCAAGUCGAACGGCAGCACGGGGGCAACCCUGGUGGCGAGUGGCGAACGGGUGAGUAAUACAUCGGAACGUGCCCGGUCGUGGGGGAUAACGUAGCGAAAGUUACGCUAAUACCGCAUACGAUCUGAGGAUGAAAGCGGGGGACCUUCGGGCCUCGCGCGAUCGGAGCGGCCGAUGUCAGAUUAGGUAGUUGGUGGGGUAAAGGCCUACCAAGCCGACGAUCUGUAGCUGGUCUGAGAGGACGACCAGCCACACUGGGACUGAGACACGGCCCAGACUCCUACGGGAGGCAGCAGUGGGGAAUUUUGGACAAUGGGCGCAAGCCUGAUCCAGCCAUUCCGCGUGCAGGACGAAGGCCUUCGGGUUGUAAACUGCUUCUGUAUGGAACGAAAAGGCUCUGGCUAAUACCUGGGGCUCAUGACGGUACCGGAAGAAUAAGCACCGGCUAACUACGUG